AUGGUUAAUGUGACUACGAAUAAUGAGAAUUCUAACAUAGAAUACUCCCAAGCAACAUUCAGCUUUGAUUUUCCAUCUAUGCUGGAAAAUGCUAGUCAUCUCAAAUAUACCACGCUUGAAUUCCAUUUAAUUUGCAGUGUGCCUAACAUAUUACCUGAUAUUUUACCAUUAGCGGGUUUCUCUCUUGGCUAAAGGACUGUAGAGAAAGGAACAGCUACAUCUGCCUAGAGAAAUCCAUACAGAAGAGGGAAAUGCUUGUGCUGAGGCUUGAAAGAGGAGGAAACACUGGCUCCAUGAAGCCUUCAUCGACCCUCAAGGAUUGCUCCUUCCUGUCCUUUAUUUCCAUUGAUAAGAAAAAGCUGUCUGUAACUGAUUUCCAGGCCGAAGUACAAGAACAGCUUCCCACUGUCGCUAGUCUCUGGGUGCCUCAACAUCCCUUGUUUGUUUCUUUAACCUGCUUGUAACCUGUAGGCGCGGAGUUUAUUACCUGUUUUCUUGUGAGAAGACAAACUCAGAGUGGAAGAGAACUUGUCCCAGGUCACCCUUGGUGGAGGUGAGCUCAGAUCAGCCUGACCUCACAACCCAACAAGAAGCAGUGCAAGCAGGAAAUGUGUACAUUCUAUAGUCCAUUCAUCCAAGUUGACAAGAAGAAACCUCAGGCAUGAAGACAGAACAAGCAUUUCUCAACAAUACAAAGUGAUAAAGCGUCAAAAUGAGCUUCAUAUGCGUCUCUUGAGUCCUUCAUUCCAGCACCUUCUCCCAUCCCCACUCUGGAACCUUUUCCUGGAUCCUCCUCCCAGCUGGGUCUUGGUCAACUAGACAGAGGUUUGAGUUAAGGAUAGACAGAAAAGAGUGGAGGGCACUAUCGAGUUGUGGGA
This is a long non-coding RNA of Homo sapiens (human), 878 nucleotides long. RefSeq annotates it as long independently transcribed non-coding RNA 2836. Lineage: Eukaryota; Metazoa; Chordata; Mammalia; Primates; Hominidae. The record is from RefSeq and is a predicted model, not a curated record. The transcript is spliced from 6 exons.